AACGAACGCUGGCGGCAUGCCUAACACAUGCAAGUCGAACGAGACCUUCGGGUCUAGUGGCGCAUGGGUGCGUAACGCGUGGGAACCUGCACUUAGGUUCGGAAUAACUCUCCGAAAGGGAUGCUAAUACCGGAUAAUGUCUUCGGACCAAAGAUUUAUCGCGUUUGGAUGGGCCCGCGUUGGAUUAGCUAGUUGGUAGGGUAAAAGCCUACUACGGCGACGAUCCAUAGCUGGUCUGAGAGGAUGAUCAGCAACACUGGGACUGAGACACGGCCCAGACUCCUACGGGAGGCAGCAGUGGGUAAUAUUGGACAAUGGGCGAAGGCCUGAUCCAGCAAUGCCGGGUGAGUGAUGAAGGCCGUAGGGUUGUAAUGUUCUUUUACCCGGGAUGAUAAUGACAGUACCGGGAGAAUAAGCUCCGGCUAACUCCGUG
RNAcentral lists this ribosomal RNA (433 nucleotides) under uncultured bacterium. RNAcentral's name for it is "partial 16S ribosomal RNA". It matches the Rfam family "Bacterial small subunit ribosomal RNA", at positions 29 to 507 of the family's 1533-position model. The record is from RNAcentral.